This 484-nucleotide ribosomal RNA is filed under the name uncultured bacterium. RNAcentral describes it as "partial 16S ribosomal RNA". It matches the Rfam family "Bacterial small subunit ribosomal RNA", at positions 29 to 507 of the family's 1533-position model. The record is from RNAcentral.
AUUGAACGCUGGCGGCAGGCCUAACACAUGCAAGUCGAGCGGAUGAAGGGAGCUUGCUCCUGGAUUCAGCGGCGGACGGUUGAGUAAUGCCUAGGAAUCUGCCUGGUAGUGGGGGAUAACGUCCGGAAACGGGCGCUAAUACCGAAUACGUCCUGAGGGAGAAAGUGGGGGAUCUUCGGACCUCACGCUAUCAUAUUAUCCUAGGUCGGAUUAGCUAGUUGGUGGGUUAAAGGCCUACCAAGGCGACGAUCCGUAACUGGUCUGAGAGGAUGAUCAGUCACACUGGAAGUGAGAAACGGUCGAGACACCUGCGGGAGGAAGCAGUCGGGAAUAUUAGGCAAGGGGGGAGAGCGUGAUAUAGGAAAGCGGCGGGUGUGAAGAAGGACUAAGGAUGCGAAAGCAAUGUAAGUUGGGGGGAAGGGAAGUAAGUUAACACGUGACUGUAUUGACAGUACCAGCAGAAUAAGCACCGGCUAACUCCGUG